AUGAAGCUUAUUGCCUGGAAUUGCCGAGGCAAAGGAAAUGGCCUAGGUAGUGAAAAGAUGACAUACCUGGCCAAUUUGAUGAGAUCAACGAGUGCUCAGGUAACUUUUGUGUCUGAGAUAAAAUCAUCUAAAAUUAACACUGUUGAUCUUAUCAACCGGUUUGACAUAGUAGACAGUAUAGUUGUGCCAUCUAAAGGAAGAUCCGGAGGUCUUUGGUUGAUGUGGACUGAUGAGGUUAAAGUUCAAGUUCAGUAUGUUGAUUUCCAUGUCAUCCUUGCAUCUGUUCUUAAUAUAGCCUCUAACAUAACUUUUGCGUUAGUUUGUAUUUAUGGUGAUCUGUAUCAUCGUGAAACUUGUCAGAUCUGGGACCGGAUUACCUCAUUUGUCAAUGAUAAUCAAGGCAAGCCUAUCUUAUGUAUGGGAGAUAUUAACGAUAUUCUCUAUGAUGCAGAUAAGAGUUCUCCCAAUGUUAAUAUAUAUCGUAUGCGUGCAUUCUGUGUGUUGGUUAAACAAUGUGGUUUCAUAGAUCUCGGGUAUAGUGGUCCAGCAUAUACAUGGACCAAUAGGCGCUACACUUCAAAGCCAACUCUUGAGCGCCUUGAUCGAUGCCUUGCUAAUGCAGAUUGGUGUAAUAUCUUCCCUAAUUCCAAUGUUUUUAAUCUGCCUAUAAUUUUUAGUGAUCAUGCUCCUAUUCUUUUAUCCACUGAUGGCCAAUAUCGGAAGCCUAAAAGGAACUUCAAGUUUGAAAAUUGGUGGCUUAUGGAAAAUGACUUCCAUGUUCAUGCUAAGAAUGUUUGGUCUAGCUCCAAAAAUAAGUUGUUCCACAAUAGGAUUACUAACCUUGCAGGGGCUUUAAGGAAGUGGUGCAGAAAGAAGAAACCGAUUCAACAAGAGCUGGAUUAUCUAGGUGAGCAAAUAAGAAAUAUACAAAUGCAGCCGAUUCAGACCUUACAUACAUUCUGGGCGACCAAGUAUCGAAGGAGAUUACACCUACAGUGUCCCUGA
Molecule: ribosomal RNA, 1005 nt
Filed under: Triticum aestivum (bread wheat)
Lineage: Eukaryota; Viridiplantae; Streptophyta; Magnoliopsida; Poales; Poaceae
Description: partial small subunit ribosomal RNA
Source: RNAcentral